Molecule: non-coding RNA, 72 nt
Organism: Bos taurus (domestic cattle)
Lineage: Eukaryota; Metazoa; Chordata; Mammalia; Artiodactyla; Bovidae
Source: Rfam
UCCCUGGUGGCUCAGAUGGUAAAGCGUCUGCCUACAAUGCAGGAGACCCAGGUUCAAUCCCUGGGUUGGGAA